AGAGUUUGAUCCUGGCUCAGAACGAACGUUGGCGGCGUGCUUAACACAUGCAAGUCGAGCGAGAAAGUCUCUUCGGAGGCGAGUACAGCGGCGCACGGGUGAGUAACACGUGAGUAACGUACCUUCGGGUGCGGGAUAACCUUCCGAAAGGAUGGCUAAUACCGCAUGAGACCACAGGGCCUUAUGGCCUAGCGGUCAAAGCUUUAUGCGCCCGAAGAUCGGCUCGCGGUCCAUUAGGUAGUUGGUGGGGUAAUGGCCCACCAAGCCUGAGAUGGAUAGCUGGUCUGAGAGGAUGAUCAGCCACACUGGAACUGAGACACGGUCCAGACUCCUACGGGAGGCAGCAGUGGGGAAUAUUGCGCAAUGGGCGAAAGCCUGACGCAGCAACGCCGCGUGUGUGAUGAAGGCCUUCGGGUCGUAAAGCACUGUCAGGAGGGAAGAACGAAGACGGUACCUCCAAAGGAAGCACCGGCUAACUCCGUGCCAGCAGCCGCGGUAAUACGGAGGGUGCAAACGUUGUUCGGAAUCAUUGGGCGUAAAGCGCACGUAGGCGGCUCAUCAAGUCUGAUGUGAAAUCCCGGGGCUCAACCUCGGAAUGCCAUUGGAAACUGGUGAGCUUGAGAGUAAGAGGGGUUAGUGGAAUUUCUGGUGUAGGGGUGAAAUCCGUAGAGAUCAGAAGGAACACCGGUGGCGAAGGCGACUGACUGGAUUAUUUCUGACGCUGAGGUGCGAAAGCGUGGGUAGCAAACAGGAUUAGAUACCCUGGUAGUCUACGCUGUAAACGAUGUUCACUAGUUGCUGGGCGCCUUGGUGUGCUCAGUGACGUAGCUAACGCGUUAAGUGAACCGCCUGGGGAGUACGGUCGCAAGAUUAAAACUCAAAGGAAUUGACGG
RNAcentral lists this ribosomal RNA (893 nucleotides) under marine metagenome. RNAcentral's name for it is "bacterial SSU rRNA". It matches the Rfam family "Bacterial small subunit ribosomal RNA", at positions 8 to 916 of the family's 1533-position model. The record is from RNAcentral.